CAAAGAUGGAGUCUCUCUUCAUUAACACCCUCAAUUCGCAGGACAAAUCCGAAUAGCUAAAGUUUAUGGAAAAACUGUACAACGAUGAUGUUAAUAUUUCAGUGUUAACCGUCCAGAUGGAAAUCUUACAAGUGCUGCUGAAGGAUGCGUCACCACGCGCAUAUAAAAGCUAAGUUAGCGUCCCUUUAAGCCAGAGUUUCGCAAGAUUUCGCCUUGAACAGCAGUACCUUCGUUCUUUCGUUCCAAACCUUUGGCACAAGCGGGACCGAUAUAGAAAUUGAAUAGAAAUCCACAAGCAUGGUGGAAAAGUCGAAGAAAAGACUUAAAGAUCCCAUGGGCAAACAAAGAAGUCAUAUUACCAAAUUUAUUGCUCAAAACAAGUUGAGACAAGAAUUUGUUCCUCUGUUGGGGAAGUAUGUUGAUUUACUCAAGGCGGAGCCUCUACAUAACACUUCUUUCCCUUCUCGCUGAACCACAAAAGAAAGACCUUGUGUAGUCUCCCAGACUUGACGUUUCAGGCAUUUCAAAACUGCAAGCAGAAGGGAACUUUCUGGGAGAUCAGAGACUGUUGUUGCUUCAUUGAGGUGAGUCUGGUUUGUGUCCUGUAUUACAACAGAGAGUGCAGCUGAAAACCAGUUCUGCCAAGCAUUGAUGUGCAUUACAUUCUCAUAUGGAUUCAAGUGGCUUGAAUCAAAGUACUUUUGUUGGCAUUUUGCCACUUUGAUAAAGGAACUUCUGAAGAUCAACUCUCUUUCAAAAGGAUCAGUUGUGAAACUUCACACUUUGGCAUUUGUUGUAGUCAAAUUCAGAGAUGCAGUUUCUAUUUACUCAAGAGUUGAGGUGCGCAUUGAACAAGUGGGAAAGCUAAAGACCUCAUGUCAACACACACCAGGAAGUUUAACAUCUGAGGCUUGGGCCUCAAUUAAAUGCAAGGUGGAGAGGCAAAGCAUGUUAAGCUAGCUUAGUAUGUGGAAAACAAAUGCAAUGCCAAAAAGACCUUCAGGUGGUGGAAAGUGUUCAGACACAAAUUUGUCCACAUGGUGUGCCUGAGAGAAAGGAACCCCAACAGCAUUGCUUAUUGCAUCGAGAAGAAGAAUAUCAGCGAUUCUUACAUUCCAAGGAGAGUUGAGAUUGUGACCACAGGUUUUGCUAUUGUGGACUUUCAUGUAUGGUUAUUUAUUCCAUUAUGGUGCAGUAUAUAAGCAAAGUGUCACUCAAUUUCCACCAACAUAACAUUAAACUUGAUGAAAAAAUUAUUUCUAUACAUACACGAAUGAUCCAUAAAGAGACUUGGUAGUUUAUUUAAAUAUUCAACACCGCCCAAGUUUAUAUACAAAAAAAACAUCUUGAAAAAUUUAUACGUCAAGCCAAGUUUGUCCACAUAUGAUUAAAACCAAUGGAACUAAUUAAACAUACACCUUUGCAUCUGUUUGGUCAGUGCUGCGGGAUGCCGUUCACAUUCCAGUAUCCUUAAUGAUAUUUAAUGAUGAGAACUUCACCACCUAACUGUACGCCAUCAGAGGAGGAAACUUCAGAGGAUACCCUCCUUCACUGGUCGACCUUCAAUAAAAAUUUUUCCAUACAUAUUGUGUGGCUUUUCUUUUUACUGCAGGAAUUAGAUGGACCAAAUGUAAGUAGGGCAGGGAAGAAGCUUACCCUAGAUCCAGUUGAAUGGAAAAGAUUAAACCAAUUAUAUUCAAUUUCUUUCUUUGAUGUUGACACAACGGGAACUGCUGUGGAUUGCUGGAAAGUCAUUGACAGUUAUCUCUGUAACAGAAAGAUGGCUGAACAAGCAUGCGCUAAUUGGUAUAUAAUAAAACUGCUGUUUGUUUUGUUUCGAAACUUUUAUUGUUGACUUUCUAUUGACUUUGAUUUUCUACUGUCAAAUAGGCAAGGUUAUAAUGUGAAUAAAAUAUUUGGGUUGUUGCCAGACUUGAAAUUUGUGAGUGUGUUAUGAAAGACCUUCAAAUUAUUGACAGGUGCUU
This is a long non-coding RNA of Pocillopora verrucosa, 1985 nucleotides long. RefSeq lists it as uncharacterized. NCBI's taxonomy places the organism in Eukaryota, Metazoa, Cnidaria, Anthozoa, Scleractinia, Pocilloporidae. The record is from RefSeq and is a predicted model, not a curated record.